GGGAAAACGACUGGUUAACUUUGCUUCUCCUUGUUUGUGGUUGUUCUGGGGUGCUCCUCUGGGGUUCUCAUCUCACCUCCCUGCUCCUCCUUGUUUAACAUCCUGAUUUCAGAGCUUCCCUGGGCACCGCCUCCCUGCUCCAAACACCAGCUGGGAUUCCAAAGCAACAGUCUUACCUCCCUGGGUGUUUGAGUCACCCUGCAGGCAGCAUGUGCUGCUGAUGAGAGCUCGGGAUUGCAAUCAUGAAUGGUCUUGGAUUCCAAUCCUGCCAUGUGUCAGCUGUGUAUCACCGACGACGACAACACAGAAUGUUUCUGUCUUGCUUUUGUCAUCUGUAAGAUGACGUUCACAACAGCACAGUCCCAGCGCUACCACGGCCCCAACAGAGUCAGCUGUACUCAAGACAGAGGAAGACGCCAUGAUGUCAACUGUACUGAUGGAUACCUAGGAAUCUAAGAUGAGGGCUGGGGAGAUGGCUCAGGUGGCAAAGUCUUGCAAACAUGAAGACCUGAGUUUGAUUCCCAGAACCUGUGCAAAAAUAAAAAUGAAAAUGAAACGGGAAAAAAAAAAAAAAAAAAA
This 579-nucleotide long non-coding RNA is filed under the name Mus musculus (house mouse). RNAcentral describes it as "predicted gene 13580 (Gm13580)". Lineage: Eukaryota; Metazoa; Chordata; Mammalia; Rodentia; Muridae. The record is from RNAcentral.